GAUCGGGACAACCUGACUUGGCGGGACAGGGAGGGAGCUGGGCGCCGGGACAAGAAGCUGCGGCGUCCAGAUGAGAUCGAGGCAGGGGCGACCGAACCAAGCGGGAGCUGGACGCCAAGAUCGAGGCAGGCGGUGUAUGCAGGGAGACGAGAUUGGAUCGAAGCACGAGUUGCGCGUGCGAAAAAGACCUAAUGCUCUAAUACCAUGUUAGGAAUAAGCAACUUAUAUUCCCAUGAGGCCAUAGGCCGAUAUAUAUAUACAUGUACAGGUGAUGGACUAUAUGCAGGAAAACCCCUUAUAUAUUGGGAUAAAUACAAAAGGGUACAUGACUU
RNAcentral lists this long non-coding RNA (332 nucleotides) under Hordeum vulgare. RNAcentral describes it as "long non-coding RNA (HVUL_LNC016049)". The record is from RNAcentral. Lineage: Eukaryota; Viridiplantae; Streptophyta; Magnoliopsida; Poales; Poaceae.